Molecule: ribosomal RNA, 497 nt
Filed under: uncultured bacterium
Lineage: Bacteria
Description: partial 16S ribosomal RNA
Rfam family: Bacterial small subunit ribosomal RNA
Source: RNAcentral
GAUGAACGCUGGCGGCGUGCCUAAUACAUGCAAGUCGAGCGAACAGACGAGGAGCUUGCUCCUCUGACGUUAGCGGCGGACGGGCGAGUAACACGUGGAUAACCUACCUAUAAGACUGGGAUAACUUCGGGAAACCGGAGCUAAUACCGGAUAAUAUAUUGAACCGCAUGGUUCAAUAGUGAAAGACGGUUUUGCUGUCACUUAUAGAUGGAUCCGCGCCGCAUUAGCUAGUUGGUAAGGUAACGGCUUACCAAGGCAACGAUGCGUAGCCGACCUGAGAGGGUGAUCGGCCACACUGGAACUGAGACACGGUCCAGACUCCUACGGGAGGCAGCAGUAGGGAAUCUUCCGCAAUGGGCGAAAGCCUGACGGAGCAACGCCGCGUGAGUGAUGAAGGUCUUCGGAUCGUAAAACUCUGUUAUUAGGGAAGAACAAAUGUGUAAGUAACUAUGCACGUCUUGACGGUACCUAAUCGGAAAGCCACGGCUAACUACGUG